CGGUAACAGGAAGCAGCUUGCUGCUUUGCUGACGAGUGGCGGACGGGUGAGUAAUGUCUGGGAAACUGCCUGAUGGAGGGGGAUAACUACUGGAAACGGUAGCUAAUACCGCAUAACGUCGCAAGACCAAAGAGGGGGACCUUCGGGCCUCUUGCCAUCAGAUGUGCCCAGAUGGGAUUAGCUUGUUGGUGGGGUAACGGCUCACCAAGGCGACGAUCCCUAGCUGGUCUGAGAGGAUGACCAGCCACACUGGAACUGAGACACGGUCCAGACUCCUACGGGAGGCAGCAGUGGGGAAUAUUGCACAAUGGGCGCAAGCCUGAUGCAGCCAUGCCGCGUGUAUGAAGAAGGCCUUCGGGUUGUAAAGUACUUUCAGCGGGGAGGAAGGUGCUGUGGUUAAUAACCGCAGCAAUUGACGUUACCCGCAGAAGAAGCACCGGCUAACUCCGUGCCAGCAGCCGCGGUAAUACGGAGGGUGCAAGCGUUAAUCGGAAUUACUGGGCGUAAAGCGCACGCAGGCGGUCUGUUAAAGUCAGAUGUGACAAUCCCCGGGCUCAACCUGGGAACUGCAUCUGAUACUGGCAGGCUUGAGUCUCGUAGAGGGGGGUAGAAUUCCAGGUGUACCGGUGAAAUGCGUUAGAGAUCUGGAGGAAUACCGGUGGCGAAGCAGGCACCCAUUGGACGAAGACUGACGCUCAGGUGCGUAAAGCGUGGGGUACCAAAUCAGGAUUAGAUACCCCUGGUAGUCCACGCCGUAAAC
This 760-nucleotide ribosomal RNA is filed under the name uncultured Gammaproteobacteria bacterium. RNAcentral's name for it is "bacterial SSU rRNA". It matches the Rfam family "Bacterial small subunit ribosomal RNA", at positions 67 to 807 of the family's 1533-position model. Lineage: Bacteria; Pseudomonadati; Pseudomonadota; Gammaproteobacteria. The record is from RNAcentral.